GAUGAACGCUAGCUACAGGCUUAACACAUGCAAGUCGAGGGGCAUCAGGAAGAAAGCUUGCUUUCUUUGCUGGCGACCGGCGCACGGGUGAGUAACACGUAUCCAACCUGCCCUUUACUCGGGGAUAGCCUUUCGAAAGAAAGAUUAAUACCCGAUGGCAUAAUGAUUCCGCAUGGUUUCAUUAUUAAAGGAUUCCGGUAAAGGAUGGGGAUGCGUUCCAUUAGGUUGUUGGUGAGGUAACGGCUCACCAAGCCUUCGAUGGAUAGGGGUUCUGAGAGGAAGGUCCCCCACAUUGGAACUGAGACACGGUCCAAACUCCUACGGGAGGCAGCAGUGAGGAAUAUUGGUCAAUGGGCGCUAGCCUGAACCAGCCAAGUAGCGUGAAGGAUGAAGGCUCUAUGGGUCGUAAACUUCUUUUAUAUAAGAAUAAAGUGCAGUAUGUAUACUGUUUUGUAUGUAUUAUAUGAAUAAGGAUCGGCUAACUCCGUGCCAGCAGCCGCGGUAAUACGGAGGAUCCGAGCGUUAUCCGGAUUUAUUGGGUUUAAAGGGAGCGUAGGUGGACUGGUAAGUCAGUUGUGAAAGUUUGUGGCUCAACCGUAAAAUUGCAGUUGAUACUGUCAGUCUUGAGUACAGUAGAGGUGGGCGGAAUUCGUGGUGUAGCGGUGAAAUGCUUAGAUAUCACGAAGAACUCCGAUUGCGAAGGCAGCUCACUGGACUGCAACUGACACUGAUGCUCGAAAGUGUGGGUAUCAAACAGG
Molecule: ribosomal RNA, 758 nt
Filed under: uncultured bacterium
Lineage: Bacteria
Description: bacterial SSU rRNA
Rfam family: Bacterial small subunit ribosomal RNA
Source: RNAcentral